UCUAUUUUUAACUUUUUAAGGGACCUCUACACUGUUUUCCAAAGUGGCUGAACCAACUUGCAUUCCCACCAACAGUGUAAGAGGGAUCCCCUUUCUUUAGGAGGAGACCCAGUGAAGAAGUCCACUGUUACUCCUGGCCUCCCCACAGUCGAUCCCCUGUCAACUAUGUUAGGUGAGUUAAGGUCUUAAGCAGCACCUGUGGUAGGAGCUGAACCAACGAGAAGGGGUGACCCAGAAUCCAUGUCUGACCCUGAAUUCCUGUUCCUUGCUUCUGUCACCGGUCGGACAUGAUCCCUCAACUGACAGCUGAGAGGGCGCGGAUCAGGAUCUCCCUUUGCCUUGAUGCUCUGCUGAAAUUUCAGUUCAGUCCUGUCUCUUAGGCAUAAAAGAAAGACAUGGGGCUCUGUGGCUUCUAUGCCCAACUCAUUAACCCAUUUGGGAAGAUGGUACCUUCCAGGCUGCCCACAGCUAGAAAGUCUGGAGGACAGUUAAAGGAGGGAAGUGGGGCUAGGUCAGGAGGCUGAUUUGGGUUGAGGAUGGGGAAGGGGGCAAGGGUUUCUGGGGUGAGACCCAGGCCUGCAGGGCAGUGUUGUGGGGUGGGUCCAGCCUCUAGGGGGAGCGUGGGUCUGAGGCAGGCUUAGGGGGACUGCAGACCAGGAGAGCUAGUGCUCCAGACCCCAUGUCCCCUGAAGGCAUGGGAGUGAGGCAGGUUUGCCCUCAUGUGCAGAAAAAACGGUCACGGAGAAGAAAUGGGACUGGACAUCCAUCACACACUUCCUUCUUCCUGCCUGUAGGGGAGCUCAGAGGGAGCCCUGUAAUACAGCAAGUCUCUGUCUUCUCACGGCCUCACCUGGAACCAGAUGAUCCCACUCUCAUGUGGGCUCCCUGCAGAGCAGGGCCAGGGGAAGUGCUUGUUGGAGGUUGGCAGAACUGAUGCAAGAGGGUAUUUCUGAAUGCAGGGACUAUCUAUGGGUUCGGGGUGGUGGGGGCGGAGAUGGGGUCUGUUUUUAUUUUCUUUUCCCUGCAUUCCCUGCCCUUUCACUGUCCUGCAGGGGCAAGGUGAGCCCAAGCUUGGGCUGGCUACAAAGGAACCAAAUGUGGCCUCAAGUCCAUUACCUUCUCCUCCAUUGGGCGUGGGUAACAGGGAGAGCCCCUGGGCAGGGCAGGAGCAGGACAGCAUGUCCUCCAACCUCCCAUGGAGGAAGGGGCAGCAGGGUGGAAAGGCUUUGAAUGGGGGCCAGAGGAGGGGAGAAGGUGCAGACUCUCAGCCCCACGAGGGGGGAGGGCUGGGAACCUGCUUCCAAGGCUUUAGAUACAGACGGGGGAGGAAAGAAUGGCUACAGAGCACACCCUCUCUAUCUGUGGGAAGGAGAGGUGGCCGCAGGCGUCCAAGGUCUGUCUGGGGCCCACACUAAGAUCCUCAGAUGAGAGGUGUUGAAGGGCUAAACAGCUGACCGAAGCUUCUGGCUGAGUCAGGAAGGCAGAGUCGGGUGUUAACCUUUGUAAAGGGAUUUACCAGGGGACCAGCUCCUGAACCUCCCGCCAUCUCUGGGCCUCACCUACUAGGAGGGGAAGACAGGUCCGGUGAUAAAGGCGCACUUUCCACAAUAACAAAUCACAACUUCGUACAUACCGUGUGAACGAUGAUGGUUGUUAUGAACGCAGACUUGUGGUAUAUGCACAGAAGUAUUCUUGUAUGGAGGGACGGCCUACGUUCGCAGUUGUUCUCAGAUUUGGAAGCACAAAGGGAGCUUUAUGUACUUCUUAGGAGUUUGGUGUGUUUGCACAAUUUCUGUUACGUCUACUCCCAGUAGAAUGUUGUUCAAAGUUGCCUGGAUGAACACAGGAGAGAGACACGUUGCACGAAGUUGGAAUUCGCUGCAGAUUUUAAUCCCUGGUUGCCCAGAUCAUGGUGCAAGAGCAUCUUCCCAGGCAGAACGUGGGGUCCUUUGCUUCCAAGCAUAAGCUUGGCUCUCCCAACUCAGACCCUCAGGACUUCUAUCCAUGGAUUGGUGCCUGUGUCUCACAUGUUCCAAAUGCAAAACUCACAAAUGUGGUCCCUGUGGGAAUUACUUCCCAGACCGUGGCUCAUAAGUCUUAUAGAUCCCAGCCAGGCUUGUGGGACACCCUAGUUUUAGUGGGACUUAGUUUGUGAAUGUUGUCUCCGCCAGGCAGAGAGAUUCUUUAUUUAUUUAUUUAUUUAUUUUUAAUGGAGACAGACUUUUUCUUACCUGUUCUCCCUUCCUUUCUCCCCACUGUCAUCUCCAGCCCUGGGAACCCUUCUCCAGAUUGUAAAGAGAAGGAAAGAGCAUGGGAGAGAGGAAAGAUAAUGGCCCACCAGAUCAAACAGAUAUGCACCUUAUUCCCUGGGGGAAAACAGUUCCUUUCCAAGUGCCCUUGGACUUCAACUGGAAGAUGAAGUCAGUUCUUUCUAACCUAUGUGGUUGUUCAGAGAAUUCAAAGGUAUCAAGUGCUCUACAUGCCCAAAGAUCCUUUGACACCAAGUAGGGUCUUCCUGGCCAUGAUCCAUCCAUAUGUGAAUUUCUUUUCUUCCUUUUCUUUCUUUCUUUCUUUUUUUUUUAAAGAUUUUAUUUAUUUAUGAGAGAGAGAGAGGGAGAGAGAAAGCAUGUGUUGGGGGGGAAGGCCAGAGGGAGAGGGACAAGCAGACUCCCCCGGCAAGCAAGGAACCUGACCCGGGGCUUGAUCCCAGGUCCCAGAGACAGUGACCCAAGCCGAACACAGAUGCCUGACCGACUGAGCCACCCAUGCGCCCCACCAUAUUUGAUUUCUUAAGUCCCAACAACUACAUCUGAUGUACCUCUGGCAGUCCUUGUUUCCACCUGUGAGGACCCAGAGGCACAGAGAAGUGAAUAACUUUUUUAGAUCACAUUACAGGGAGGUAGUGCACUGAACCUUCCAUCCCAGAUGUGCAGAGGAAGGAUCACAUUGGGGUAGUCUGUUUCUGGCUCUGGGAAUGAGCCCACUCAAGAUAAAUGGGCCCCACACUCUUUCCCCAAGGCAGGAAUCGGCCAUGAUCAAUGCCUGUCCGUUCUCUGUGGUGACCACCAACUGCAAGGUAGGCAAGGAAUGUCAUCCCGUGAACUGGGAAUUAGGGGCUGUCCGUAUGGGGGCACUGCUCCCUUGUGCCUCUCGGGUUAACCACGUCAACAACGCAUUCGUGUUUUCAUCAGCUGGUUUUGAUUAUUUGAUAGGUGCAAGGCAUCUUUCUAGGUGCUGAGGAGAAAGCAGUGAACACAAUCCAGGAAAGUCUUGCAUUCAUGGCACAUUCGUCCUUGAGAGGGGAAAGACACAAGACACAUAAGUAAGGAAAAGCCUUCGAAUGACAAACUGGGUUAAGCAUGUGCGAGAAAACUGGAGAGGGAUGUGGCCAGCAUGGUCAGAGAGUUUUGCACACACAUACAGAUAUUUCCUGUUUACCCAUGAGCACGUUGGCAAGCCUCACUUAAUUGAGUGACACUUAGUAGAUGAAAAAGGGAGGUACAACUGUGUGGCGCUGUCUGGAGGGAGUGAGGCAAAGGCAGAGAACUGAUGGGAAAACUCAUUUCCAGGCCUCCCUGCUCCUUUCCCCCAAUCACACCCCAUUUCUAGUGACUAAUCCAAAUAUGGCUUCCUCUCUCCCCAUCACCCCCAGUGUAAGUCUCUCCCACUAUAAUCAUUUCUGGUCUUUGUCUCCCUUGGACAAAUUAAUGAAUAAAGCUCAAGGGAAACAGAUCAUCGAAACCUCUUCAGCCCCCUUUCUUGAACUGUCCCAUCCAUCUCUCAGAGGGGUGCUACACUGGCCCGUCAGACCACAUCUGGAGCAUCAGGCUCUGGCCCUGGUGACCCACUUUGGGAGGGGUGUAGUACCGCUGGAGGUCACGCUGAGGCCAGUGUCCAGGAUGGUCAUACCUGAAAGGGACUGAGCAACUCCCUCACAGAUGCUCAGUGACCCCAGGUUUGUCGUAUGUGAAAGGUUGUCCUGUGGAUGUGGGGUUAGACAGGCUCUUUGUAGGCCAACUUCCAGAACUACAAGUGAAGUGAAGAGGGACUAGCGAGAGAGAUUCUCUACCAGCAUUAAUUAGUACCUUAUGCUAGACCUAAUAAAAUGAAAUGGGGUGUCUGGAUGAGUUCUGAGUAUCUGGAGGAAUGCAAAUGCAGACAGGGUGUACCCUCUCCUGGGAACAUUAUAGAGAGGAUGCAGGUGGCUUCAUCUGAAAUUUAUGGUUCUGUGAUCUAGUGGGCUGCCUGAGGGCAGGUGAUGGGAAUAAAUAAAGCUGGAGCCUCCCUCUGGGACUGUCUCAGGAAUGGGCGCGAGGAUGUUCCAGUUCCUUCUGCUGGGGAUAUUCACAGUGCUCUUCAUGGAUGAAGGUAAAGCCUGGUGAGGGAGGUGGUGAUGGGUGACUUUUUGGGCUGCUGUAAAAUGGUUUAAGGAGAUUUUUUUUCUUUUUCUCUUUGCAGGAGACAGAGUCCUGACAUCAAAAUGUAUGUUGUAGUUGGUUUGCAAUUUUUGCAUUAAUAAUGCCACAAUGAGAGGGGACGUUCCCGAUUUUUUCAAACAUUGUCCCUCUACCCACCCUGACUAUAUUCUACUCUUCUCACUCACUGCUCUUGUGGUUUUUUUCUGCCCCCAGCCUUGGGUGAAUGGGGGAGGAGGCUUGAAUCCUUGUGGUCAUAGCUGUCACCCACUCAAGGGAGUAAGGACUCCUGGCAGAAGUUGGGAAGGGUGUCAACUUCCUUCUUGUGAGGUCUACACCUCUACAGUGUAAAUGUUGAUAUUGGGGUAGGCUUCUGAAGCAGACUUAACUUUCCCUAGAGCUCUGCUUUCAAUCUUUCCUCUCUUUAUUUAGUGGUUCGGUUUUGCUAUCAAUGUGCCCACUUUAAUGGAUAUAAAUGCCUCACUGGCUUGAAAAAGUGCUGGAAGUUCAAUCUAACAAUUCACAACAGGAGUUGUUCCAUAGAUCACUACUACUAUAGUGAUCGAGUAACAGGGAGAUCUCUGUAUCGUUACACAGAACUGUCUUGUAAACCUUGUGAAGAGGGAAUGAAACAAAUAUACCAUGACUUACUGAAAGAAACAUUGUGCUGCAGUCAUGAUGACAUGUGUAAUAAUGGCCACAUAAAUUUAGAUACUACAAUUAUAUUUGGAAGAGGGAUCGAUAACAUGACUGAUGUGAUAAUAGAAAGCUAAACAUGUGCUUAAGAUUUUGAACCAUAUAGGAACACACAUCUUAUUAAAUAAUACUUUCCCCUCCCCCUAAAAUAGACAGAGUAUAGGGGCACCUGACUGGCUCAGUCUGAAGAGCAUGGGACUCUUGAUUUCACGAUUGUGAUUCAAGCCCCAUGUUGGGUGUAGAGAUUUCUUAAAUAAAUAAACUUAAAAAGAAAAGAAAAAGAGAUAGUAUAAAAGGAGAUAGACCAUAAAGUAGAAGAGAUACACACAAAUGCACACACACCGUAAAACAAUAUAACAGCAUUGACUAAACAUAUUAGCCAAAGUAAAAAGAUUUUAGUUUAGUAUACAGUGCAAUAUCCAACUCUGUGAUGAUUUAGAAAUAUGACCAAGUCAAAACAAUUCAAAAUGUGUAAAUAUAAAUGAACGGGAAAAAUAUGUAUUAAAAACCCAUAGGGAUUUUGAGCCUAUUUAUGGGCUCAAUCAUCAAAAGAGAUAAUAUACUUUACGUUAUCAAAGCCACUAAUCUACAAUAAAGAUCUAAAUUAUUAAAACAGGCAGCCAAUACCACAGCAACAACUUUUCUUAACAACUCUCCUAUAGAAAUUAUAAGAGAGAUGAUGAGAAAAAGAAAUGCAUGCUAAUCACCAGAUCAUGUGGAUAAAUAAUGAGCAAGGGGAUUAAAGACAUAUAUAACAUGAUUAUUAAGGUUUAUUAUCAUAAACCUAUAUCUAAUUCUGAACCCAGAUAAUAGAGAACACGGCUUUUCAAAUGCACAUGGAACAUUCACAAAGAUUAGUCACAUAUUAGCCCUGUGGAGGAUUGAGUUGAUUUACAUCUGAAAUGUAAAAGGUCCGUAUUUUUCUCAGUCCAUGUUUGGAAUUUUGGCCAGGAUAAAAACCUUUAAAGUCUGAAACUCUCCUGGUGACUCCCAGCAUCAUUUUAUUUACUGAUAUAAAUAAACUAUUUUCCAGCCUGGCUUGAUCACAUGGUCAGAGACAUUAUAAUCCCACCCCUCGCCACCAACCACAUGCACUGUCAUUAAGAACUUCUGUUUAAAAUAGUCCUGAAGCUGAGAUUCCUCACACAGAUUUUGAUUGUGCAGUGCAGUGACAGAGAGCAGUCUGUAGGUAAAUGAGGACUCUGGGAGCUUGUGCAUGGAAUGUCUCUUGGAUUUCCCCCAAUUUUUGUCUGUACUCUCCUUUUGCUGCACUGUAUUCUUUGUCUUUAAAUAAAAGCUCUAUUCAAUAUGCACUAUAAGUAUGUUCCUAGAGAAUAAGUGUGUUCUGUGAAGUCUGAUGAGGUGUUCCAGAUAUCUAAAUUUGGGAAAUCUUUGCAAACCCUCAAAGAAACACUUGAUAAAUUCCGAGAAAUAGAAAUAAUAAAAGCAAUAUUCACUUACCACAUGCAAUAAAGUAGAAGUUAAAAACAAGACCAAAAAGGUGCCACCACCUGGAAAUAUAGAAAGGUGUUAUCAAGGAGCUCUUAAUAGGAAAAUCUAGGACCAAAAAAAAAGCAGAAUUUCUUAGCAGAAAACAUUACGUAUCAAAAGUUAUGGAAUACAGCUAUAGCAUUUAUCAGAGGAAAAUUCAUAGCAUUAAAUACACAUAAAAUUUAAAAAGUGGUAAACACUCAACUCAAAAUAGCAGACCAAGAACAAAGUAAGCAGAAAAAAGGAAAGAAGUAGCACUACGUAAAAGCAGAUAUCUCAGAAGUAGUGUAUUCACUCCAUAUGGCCAUCAUUCAUUCUGUGGCUGUGUACAUAGACUUAGUGGCUUAAACACAUUAUCUCACAGUUUCUAUAGGUCAGAAGUCCAGACAGAGCUUAGCUGGGUCCUCAACUCAGAAUCUCACAAGACUGCAAUCAAGGGGUAGACCAAGCCAUGUUCUCAUUUGAUAACAAUUUAGGAAGAAUUCACUUCUAAACUCUUUUGGCCUGUUGGUAGAAUUCAUCUCUGUAGUAGUAUAACUGAGGUUCUUUUCUUUCUAGCUCUUGGCUGGGGCCUCUUUCAGCUCCAAAAGGCCAUUCAUUCACAGCUCUCUACCACGUAGCUAGCUAUCCCCAUAGUCAAUUUACAACAUCACUGCUCCUUCAAGGCCAGUGGGAGAGUGUCUCUCCUGUUUGCUAAGAUCCAGUCUUAUAUAAUGUAACAUAAUAUGAAUGAUAUUCUUUCACCUUUGCUACAUUCUAUUGGUUAGAAGUAAGUCACAAGUUCUGCCCACACUCAAGGGAGGGGGUUAUUCAAGGGGUGAAUCAUUGGGUAUAUCCCAUACCUUAGGAUGUGUCUGCUACAUAUAGAAAACAGGAAAUAAAUACAACAAAUGAAUUAAAAAGUUUAAAUAAGCAAAUCACAAGUUAACCUGUUAUUUAAAAAAGGAGACUGCACAAAUACAAAAUAUUAGAUAUUGCAAAGGAGUAAUAAACAUCCAAACUGAGGAAAUUUUAAAAAAUAUUUAAAUUUCAAAAUUAAUUUGUAUAAUCCUAUGCAAAUGAAUAUAAACAUCUAGUUGAAAUAAGUAAUUUUCUAGGAAAAUAGAAUUUUUACCCAGACUGACCCAAGCAGAAUUAGAAAGGCUACCCAAACUCAUUUCUAUUUUUAAGAAAUAGAGAAAAUUGGGGUGCCUGGGUAAUGCUGUCGGUUAAGCGACUGACUCUUGGUUUCGACUCAGGUCAUGAUCUCAGAGUCCUGAGAUUAGGCCCUGCUGCAGGCUCCGCUCUCAGGGUGGAAUCUUCUUGAGAUUCUCUCUCCCUCUCCCUCUGCCCCGCCGCCCACCAAUGCGCUCGAUCUCUUUAUCUUUCUCUUUCUAAAAUAAAUACAUAAAUCUUUAAAAAAUAAAAAACAGAGAAAAUUAUAAAAGAGCUCCUGUCACUUCCCAAAAAACACACAUCUACAUGGUUCACAGAAGAAUUCCAAAAAACUUUUUUUUUUUAAGGAGGGUAGGGGAGAGAGAGAAUCUUAAGCAGGCUCCAUGCCCAGCAUGGAGGCUGCUGUGGGGCUCGAUCCCACAAUCUUAAGAUCAUGACCUGAGACAAAAUCAAGAGUAGGAUGCUUAACCAACUGAGCCACCCAGGUGCCCUCCCCCCAAAAAACCCUUUAAUAAGUAGAUGAUUCCAAUGCUACUUAAACUAUUUCAGAGUAUAGAUAAGGAAAGGAAACAUUCUUUUUAUUAAACAGUUAUAUCCAAAUCAGUUUAUGUAAUAUAGAGCAUUCUAAAAGUCUCACUUUUUUUGGCUAACUGAACAUGAUGAAAAAAAGAAUUGGAAGAGAUUGUCUUUAAAAAGACGAUAAAAAAAA
Long non-coding RNA from Ailuropoda melanoleuca (giant panda), 8466 nucleotides. RefSeq lists it as uncharacterized. The record is from RefSeq and is a predicted model, not a curated record. Lineage: Eukaryota; Metazoa; Chordata; Mammalia; Carnivora; Ursidae. The transcript is spliced from 2 exons.